Molecule: long non-coding RNA, 83 nt
Organism: Sinocyclocheilus anshuiensis
Lineage: Eukaryota; Metazoa; Chordata; Actinopteri; Cypriniformes; Cyprinidae
Exons: 3
Source: RefSeq, a predicted model, not a curated record
AUGUUAUUGUGCUGUAUGUGUAACUGUGAGGGAUUGAGAGAUGAUAGGAGAGCUGACAUUAUCAAGAAUGUAACAGACUAUGA